RNAcentral lists this unclassified non-coding RNA (337 nucleotides) under soil metagenome. Its description in RNAcentral is "partial contains 5.8S ribosomal RNA, internal transcribed spacer 2, and large subunit ribosomal RNA". The stretch from base 1 to 120 matches the Rfam family "5.8S ribosomal RNA", at positions 35 to 154 of the family's 154-position model. The record is from RNAcentral.
GAUGAAGAACGUAGCGAAAUGCGAUAAGUAGUGUGAAUUGCAGAAUUCAGUGAAUCAUCGAAUCUUUGAACGCACAUUGCGCCCCCUGGCAUUCCGGGGGGCAUGCCUGUCCGAGCGUCAUUUCUGCCCUCAAGCACGGCUUGUGUGUUGGGUGUGGUCCCCCCGGGGACCUGCCCGAAAGGCAGCGGCGACGUCCGUCUGGUCCUCGAGCGUAUGGGGCUCUGUCACUCGCUCGGGAAGGACCUGCGGGGGUUGGUCACCACUAUAUUUUACCACGGUUGACCUCGGAUCAGGUAGGAGUUACCCGCUGAACUUAAGCAUAUCAAUAAGCGGAGGA